UGGCUUCUAUAACAGUGUACUAGGGA
This 26-nucleotide non-coding RNA is filed under the name Homo sapiens (human). Lineage: Eukaryota; Metazoa; Chordata; Mammalia; Primates; Hominidae. The record is from RNAcentral.